CUACGUGCCAGCAGCCGCGGUAAUACGUAGGUCCCGAGCGUUGUCCGGAUUUAUUGGGCGUAAAGCGAGCGCAGGCGGUUAGAUAAGUCUGAAGUUAAAGGCUGUGGCUUAACCAUAGUACGCUUUGGAAACUGUUUAACUUGAGUGCAAGAGGGGAGAGUGGAAUUCCAUGUGUAGCGGUGAAAUGCGUAGAUAUAUGGAGGAACACCGGUGGCGAAAGCGGCUCUCUGGCUUGUAACUGACGCUGAGGCUCGAAAGCGUGGGGAGCAAACAGGAUUAGAUACCCUGGUAGUCCACGCCGUAAACGAUGGGUACUAGGUGUAGGAGGUAUCGACCCCUUCUGUGCCGGAGUUAACGCAAUAAGUACCCCGCCUGGGGAGUACGACCGCAAGGUUGAAACUCAAAGGAAUUGACGGGGGCCCGCACAAGCGGUGGAGUAUGUGGUUUAAUUCGACGCAACGCGAAGAACCUUACCAGGUCUUGACAUUGAUGGACAGAACUAGAGAUAG
RNAcentral lists this ribosomal RNA (509 nucleotides) under uncultured bacterium. RNAcentral describes it as "bacterial SSU rRNA". It matches the Rfam family "Bacterial small subunit ribosomal RNA", at positions 501 to 1009 of the family's 1533-position model. The record is from RNAcentral.